CAGCAGCCGCGGUAAUACGUAGGUGGCAAGCGUUGUCCGGAAUUAUUGGGCGUAAAGGGUGCGUAGGCGGACUGAUAAGUCAGGGGUGAAAUCCCAAGGCUCAACCUUGGAACUGCCUUUGAUACUGUUAGUCUUGAGUUCGAGAGAGGUGAGUGGAACUGCGAGUGUAGAGGUGAAAUUCGUAGAUAUUCGCAAGAACACCAGUGGCGAAGGCGGCUCACUGGCUCGAAACUGACGCUGAGGCACGAAAGCGUGGGGAGCAAACAGGAUUAGAUACCCCAGUAGUCCCUGUCUCUUAUAA
Molecule: ribosomal RNA, 301 nt
Filed under: uncultured bacterium
Lineage: Bacteria
Description: partial 16S ribosomal RNA
Rfam family: Bacterial small subunit ribosomal RNA
Source: RNAcentral